UCAUCAGUCCAAAUAUGAAGCAUCAACAUCUACACCAUUGAAGCGCCAACUGUGUAUUUCUGCAACACCAAUGCCAGCUCUGUCUAGCAUUCAUGGAGAAUCAUCUGAAAGGGAUGAUAAUUUGGAGGAGGUGAUGGAACAAGGUGAAACUAAAAAAGAAGGAUCUUCACAAAUGUUAUCUUGUGAGGGAAUUGAAGCAAACAUUGACGAGGAAGAGUUCAACAAUAUUCAAAACUCUGUGUAAGUAUUCAGAUGUUAAUAAAAUGUGUCUAAUUUUCCAUACUAAAAACUUUAUAUUGUGUACAUUCAGGAUAGAGUCAUCAGAUGACACAUGGUCACCAAACAGAGAACCAGAAGUUGAUUCGUCUUCAGAGGAGGACGAAACCAUCGAGAUGGACAGCGGUACUGAUGACAGCGGUGAUGAGGACUACACACCUUAUACACACAUAAGGACUGGAGCAGCAUUACAAAAAACAUUACAACUUGAGACUCUGCAAGAAAUUAACAUAGAGGAUACAGUUCAUGACUGUAAUAUCCCAGAAGCAACUGACCGACGUUUGACAAGCAAGAAAGGUCUUCCUCGACGCUACAAGCUAAGGCCUGAGGAUCCAAGGCGUUAUGGUUUGCUGUCCGGAGUUCCUGCACCAUCAACAGAGGAACUUCUACAACACCUACGGACUUGCGGUGAUGGUAAAAUAAAACAUUAUCUGCCUUACAUCUUCCACACAACAGUCCAUUGCUAA
RNAcentral lists this long non-coding RNA (743 nucleotides) under Nothobranchius furzeri (turquoise killifish). RNAcentral's name for it is "lncRNA (ENSNFUG00015001016.1)". The record is from RNAcentral. Lineage: Eukaryota; Metazoa; Chordata; Actinopteri; Cyprinodontiformes; Nothobranchiidae.